This is a long non-coding RNA of Ictalurus punctatus (channel catfish), 879 nucleotides long. RefSeq lists it as uncharacterized. The record is from RefSeq and is a predicted model, not a curated record. The transcript is spliced from 2 exons. NCBI's taxonomy places the organism in Eukaryota, Metazoa, Chordata, Actinopteri, Siluriformes, Ictaluridae.
UGAGGUCCAUGAAGACAUGGUUUGCCAAGCUUGGAGCGGAAAAACAGGAGUGGCCUACACAGAGCCCUGUCCUCGACCCCACUUUGAGACGAACCUUUGAGAUGAACUGGAACGCUGACUGCACCCCGGAGCUCCGCACACAACAUCAGUGCCUGACCUCACUAAUGCUGUUAUGGCUGAAUGAGCACAAAUCCCCACAGUCACACUGCAAAAUUUAGUGGAAAGUCUUCCCAGAAGAGUGGAGAUUAUUAUUACAGCAAAGGGGGACUAAACCUGGAAUGAAAUCAACAAGCACAUACUGGGUCACGGGGAGCCUGGAGCCUAUCCCAGAGGACUCGGGGCAUGAGGGGACACACACGCUGGACAGGGUAACAACCCAUCGCACACAAAUUCACAUAAUUUGGAGAUGCCAAUCAGCCUACAGCGUAUGUUUUUCGACCAGCGUACCCCAAGGAAACCCCCGAAGCAUGGGAACAACAAGCAAACACAGCGCAGAGGUGGGAUUCAAAGCCCUGGAGGUGCGAGGCAAAUGUGCAAACAACUAAGUCACCAUUACCCUCAAUUAGAGUUAAAUGAAUAUUUAAUUCCAGAUUUUUUUUUUUUUUAACCUCAUUCAAUGGUGUACAUUCUUGGUUAAUAGAGUUGUUAGAAAUACCUGUACCACUGUGUGUAAUGUACAGUAUUGUACCUUUCCUUUUGCUGCACUGUGAAUAAUAAAGAUGUACCAGGCUACAGUAGGUACAUUUUAUACUUCUGUGCCUGGUAGAUUUUGGCACGUUGGUACAAGUGAGCAUCCUGCUGCUUUAUUUUUUUAAACUGAAAAAACCCCAAAACCUUUUAAUGUCAUUGUAUUAAAAACCAAACAAACAAACAAAAAAA